CAAAAUGUGAGAAGACAUGUAUAAAACAAUUGAUUGAACUAAAACAGCAGACUCCCUCCCCGCCUUCAUAAACUGUCUAAUAUUUUAUGAACCCCCCUUUUUCCUGGCUAAAAAAUAUGUGACCCCCCACUGUUUCCACCUCCCCACCCCUCCUGCUAAAUUAUGACCAGUCCCUUACUAUGUGACUACUCACCCUCCAGCUAUUCAAAAACAGCAGUUGACGCUCAAGCUCAGAUUGAACCUCCACUCUUUGAGUGCGAGUGAGCUUUCAGAAUAGAGGCGUAAAACUUCAGGGGCCAGUUGUUCAAAGGUGGGUUAGCGCAAACCCUCGGUUAAAAUUUAACCCGCUGUUUUAGUUUAUGUAUUUCUGCACGUCUGUUUAUUUCAAAACUUCAGAGAAGUAAACUCCUAUCGAUCCAGA
Molecule: non-coding RNA, 421 nt
Organism: Paramuricea clavata
Lineage: Eukaryota; Metazoa; Cnidaria; Anthozoa; Malacalcyonacea; Plexauridae
Source: the annotation of a GenBank genome assembly